Molecule: long non-coding RNA, 696 nt
Organism: Vitis vinifera (wine grape)
Lineage: Eukaryota; Viridiplantae; Streptophyta; Magnoliopsida; Vitales; Vitaceae
Exons: 2
Source: RefSeq, a predicted model, not a curated record
GGGAGGAAAAUUUUGUCGUGCUCUUGUUCACCAUGGCUUCAUCUCUAACUUCCUCUUCAUCGGUGGCUAUGGCUUCUUACCGUCAUCGACCCUUUCAACGACCACCACUAUCACUCCGACUACCUUCCAGUGCCUCUGAAAACCUACCAUUUUCAGGCAUCCGAGUUCCCAUGGAUGAAGUGCGUUCUUAAAAUCAAGUUCCCAUGGAUGAAAUAAAUUCUUCAAAUCCAGUGAAUGUAUUCGGAUCCAUGUCUUCAAGUCAGUUUCAGGUCUGGCUAUGGUGGAUGGUUUCUAUAUACUGCUGCCUCGGCUGGAGACUUGGGUUUUGUUCAGGAACUGCUUGAAAGAGACCCUCUUCUUGUUUUUGGAGAAGGAGAAUAUGGUGUCACUGAUAUACUUUAUGCUGCUGCCAGGAGAAAGAAUUGUGAGGUUUUUAGGCUUGUUUUUUAUUUUGUAGUCCCCCCAAGGUUCUCCACCGACGAAGGUGGAGAGAUGGAGGAGCAAAUUGGGGAGAUCCCUUUUGUUUUUAAGUGGAAGAUGAUAAAUAGAGUUGUUCAUGCUACUACCAGAGGGGGGAAUUUGGAGAUUUUGAAGGAGCUCCUUAGUGAGUUUUGGCUAAAUGUAAGAUCGAAAUAUGUAAAAAUAAAAAGUUACAAUUUUUUAAUUUUACAAAUAAAAAAUAUUUUAUAUUGUAUC